This 1405-nucleotide long non-coding RNA is filed under the name Coffea arabica (coffee). Its description in RNAcentral is "long non-coding RNA (CARA_LNC007869)". Lineage: Eukaryota; Viridiplantae; Streptophyta; Magnoliopsida; Gentianales; Rubiaceae. The record is from RNAcentral.
UGGAUUGCAAAAAUUGAAAAAAAACUUUUGGGGACAAAAUUUAUAUUUUUCCAAAGUUCAGAGGUCAAAAUUAAAUAAAAGAUAAAAUUCAGGGACCAAAGUGCAAUUACUAUAAGGACCUACAUGAAAGAAAUUUAAAAUGUUUUGAACCACAGUAAAACUACUCUAAAGAUCAGGGGCUAAAGUGCAAGUUCGUUUCUGAUUUGGGCAAGAAAAGGGCAUCGGGCCUCCCUUGUUAUUUUACUUGGGCCGAACCUACCUAAACCCAACUGAAAGCCCAAGCCAAAACACACAGGCCAGCCCGUCUUUUAUCACUCAAACCCAGCCAAAAAAAUACAUAGGCUCCAACCUCCUAACCCAACCGAAACCCAAAAGAAAAAUAAACCAAAGCCCAUCCCCCAAAACCUAACAAAAUAACCACAAACCCACCUUAAAAAACUCACCUUAGCCCAAACACCUUUUUUCUUUCUUUCUUUCUUUCCUUCUUUUCUUUUCUUCCUCCACUUCCAGCCGUUUCUUUUUUUCUUCUUCUUCGGCCAGCUGCUCCGGCGACCUCUCCGGUCACCAAAAAUUUCUCAAAAUACACCUCCCCACUCCAUUUUUCGCCUAGAUUCCAUUUCCGGAGUUAGUUUUUACGAAAAAUGAGCCAAAAGUGGUCAAAAUGCCAAGAAAUCAGUUCAGUUUUUAUUUUUUUAAAACCCUCACAUCUUCACCAAAAAUCAUAAAAAUUAUGCCAAAACCUUCUUGAUAACUUCUACAAUACAACUAUAAUCUUAGUUUGACAAGUAAACAACAACAAAAGGAUGCAUUAAAUCAAAACAGCCCCAAAAAUGAAGAAAAUUAUUCUAAUGCUUUUAAGGCUCAAAAACUCCCAAAAUUUUGGAUAACCAAGCAUUUUCAGAUCUUUGCUAGCUAAUGGUCUUCCAUUUAAGCAAAACAUACACGCCAAAUUCACUUCUUUGAUUCAUUUUUUCAUUUAGACAUUUUUUCAAACAUUUGGCAUGCAUUCACAGCACCGUUUCUUUUUUUCUAAUUUUGUUCAGUGACCCAUCCCAAAAUUUCAUCCAUACAACACCAGCAAAAACCAGCAAAAAUAAGCAAUAAAAAAGGUAACCACACAUACAUUCAAUCUAGUUAAUUAAAAAAAGAAAAGCUGGAAAAAAGGGAGAUAAAUACCUCAAUGAAGAGUUUGGUCCCUUUGCCAAGAUUUUUGAUGAAAUUGCCAAGCUCCAAUCCAACCGAGUGCUCCCUUGUUGUGUGCAAAUAUGUUGGAAAAAAAUUGGGAGAGAGGAGAGCCGAGAGGGAGAGAGGAGUUUUUCUCUCUUUUUUUUCCCUUCUUCUUUUCGGUCCAGCCCAGAGAGAGCCGAGAACCUCUUUUUUUUUGUGUCUUUUUUUUCUCCUUUUU